This is a non-coding RNA of Lonchura striata (white-rumped munia), 271 nucleotides long. Lineage: Eukaryota; Metazoa; Chordata; Aves; Passeriformes; Estrildidae. The record is from RefSeq and is a predicted model, not a curated record.
GCGCUUUGGUAACACAAGCUGUACUCAAAGACUCCACACUGGUGAUGUUGCAAGUACCAUACAGCAUUUUUUUUUCUGGGAUGAACAUCCUUCAUUGUGGGAUCUUCACCACAUACAGAACUUGACACCAGAAAUUGAGUGGUUUGGAAUGAAGAGGAGGGAACAGCAUGCAUAGGGCAUACCCUGGAGUUCAUCUUUGGAUGCAAGGUGGGAUGAAGAUCCCAUGAAAAAGCUGAACAUGUGGACAUGAAUUAAAAGCUGUCUUCAAAGC